Molecule: transfer RNA, 72 nt
Filed under: archaeon
Lineage: Archaea
Description: tRNA-Thr
Rfam family: tRNA
About the family: Transfer RNA (tRNA) molecules are approximately 80 nucleotides in length. Their secondary structure includes four short double-helical elements and three loops (D, anti-codon, and T loops).
Source: RNAcentral
GCUCCUAAAGCAUUGCUGGCGAUGCGCGUGACUUGUAAUCACGAUAACUUGGUUCGAUUCCGAGUGGGAGCU